This 394-nucleotide ribosomal RNA is filed under the name uncultured Anaeromyxobacter sp. RNAcentral describes it as "bacterial SSU rRNA". It matches the Rfam family "Bacterial small subunit ribosomal RNA", at positions 67 to 447 of the family's 1533-position model. Lineage: Bacteria; Pseudomonadati; Myxococcota; Myxococcia; Myxococcales; Anaeromyxobacteraceae. The record is from RNAcentral.
CGAGAAAGCCCGCAAGGGUGAGUAAAGCGGCGCACGGGUGCGUAACACGUGGAUAAUCUGCCCUGGAGUCCGGAACAACUCGCCGAAAGGCGAGCUAAUGCCGGAUGAGACCACGGGGGCUUCGGCCCCUGAGGGAAAAGGUGGCCUCUGUACACAAGCUAUCGCUUCAGGAUGAGUCCGCGGCCCAUCAGCUAGUUGGCGGGGUAAUGGCCCACCAAGGCGACGACGGGUAGCUGGUCUGAGAGGACGAUCAGCCACACUGGAACUGAGACACGGCCCAGACUCCUACGGGAGGCAGCAGUGGGGAAUCUUGCGCAAUGGGCGAAAGCCUGACGCAGCAACGCCGCGUGUGUGAUGAAGGUCUUCGGAUCGUAAAGCACUGUCGCGAGGGACG